GUCCUGGAUCCUCCCCACGCACCCCACGGGCUCAGGGUGGCGGCAGUGUUUGCAGACGGAUGCAUCUCCAGAGCGAAGCACAGAAUAGGACCUCAGGGCAUUUCGUAGAGAGCAGGGAAGCAGGAAAUUCUGACGCGGCUACUUGGUGAAACUCAGCAUCACUUCCUGGCCCCGAGUCAUUAGGAAAUUAUCUGUUUCUUUUCAUGUCUGUGUCUCACCGGACUGUGAACUCCCAAGGACAGAGAUAGUAAUAGCACUCUUGGUGAGCUGAGCGUUGCCACUGUCCUCAAUUUGGAGAGGAGGAUGCUGAUACACAGAGAGGUUAAAUGACUGGCUCAGGGAUGGAGCUGGAAUUUGAAUUCAGUCCAACAUGCUCCAGAGCCUCCGUCUCUUAACCCGGGCACCAGCCGUGGUGCCUGCCACGCAGCAGGCAUUCCCUACAGUGUGGUGAGAGGAGCGAGUGGCCUUUGAAAAUGCUGAUGUGGAUGAGCUACAAGAGAAAGAUCCAGAACGCAAUGCUCCCCAAACAUGUUUGAAGACCAUCACCCAAAGACUCCAUUCAAUACGGUGAUGCCAGAAUCGCCCCCUCCCCCUCCCCCACCCCAUCCCCCUCCGGAGAACUCCAUAAAGGCAGAGACCUGCCUUAUUCAUCUUUGCUUCCCCAAAGCACCA
Long non-coding RNA from Physeter macrocephalus (sperm whale), 672 nucleotides. RefSeq lists it as uncharacterized. The record is from RefSeq and is a predicted model, not a curated record. NCBI's taxonomy places the organism in Eukaryota, Metazoa, Chordata, Mammalia, Artiodactyla, Physeteridae. The transcript has 3 exons.